This 904-nucleotide long non-coding RNA is filed under the name Medicago truncatula (barrel medic). RNAcentral describes it as "lncRNA gene17067". Lineage: Eukaryota; Viridiplantae; Streptophyta; Magnoliopsida; Fabales; Fabaceae. The record is from RNAcentral.
UUUGAUUACAUCUUAUAAGCUUUCUUGAAGGAAAAAAAUCAGGCGUUUUCAAAAACAUUUUCUUCGAAUCUUCCUAAUUUCCUUACAAGAUAUUUCAAGUUAUCUGUCUCACAUGUUACAUCUGAAGAUAGGUCAUUCAAAAACAGGAAGGGGAUAAAUUAGUCUUCACAUGGACCUUCAUGAAUUUUGACUGUACAAAAUCGAUGAUAUGGCAGGGAGUAAGUCGAAAUUUGCUCAAAUUAACAGGGGAGAAAACCGGAAAUGACUUAUAUUACAGGUGGGUAAAACACUAUUAACCCUAACCUUUGUCAGUAAGCCACGUCAAUAGCCCCCAAAAAGAAAAGCUAGUAAUGUUUGUUUGCUCAGAAACCUAUUUCAGAGACCUCACAAAGCACUAGGGUUUGAACAUUGAAGGCAGAUUUAUUAGAUGCAAUGGAGAUAAAAAUCACACUUAAAGUUUUGUCUAAAUGCAACAACAUUAGGAAUUUUGGAAUUUAAAGAAUUUCAAAUCUGUCACAGAACAUAGAGAGAAAAGAGAGGAAAAUUGAAUGGUUUUGUCAAGAUAUUAUGAUGGAACUUGAUUGAGAGAAAUAACCAAUGUUCAUCUUUUUUUGUGUAUUUUCAUCCAUCACCCAUGUGGAUUGACAAUAAAUUUCACAUUUUGGUGAGAACUAAUUUCCAUAUUCCCCCCAUGCUCACUUAACAAUAUUUUACUUAAGGAUAAAACGAAGAAGAGUUAACAAUGCAAUUACAAAAGAUAUUUGCACAUAGCAUGUGUGGUGAUGUAUGCAGAAGAGAAGUUACAAUAAAACAAAGGACUAAUCCAAUGACACAGGAAGAGUAAAAGUAAAAGAUAAUCCAAUGUAUUAAUCCUCAUCCAUUUUUACAUUAAUUACAGUAUGAG